AAACAGGUGCCCCUUAAGGGGCUUAAUAGGGAAGCCCGGUGAAAUGCCGGCACGGUCCCGCCACUGUAAUGCAGAGCUAAUCCACGAAAUGUCACUGGGUGCGACUUGGGAAGACUGGAAGAGCGAGGAAGCAGAGUCAGGAGAACUGCCUGUUUG
Molecule: non-coding RNA, 156 nt
Filed under: human gut metagenome
Source: RNAcentral